UAGGGAAUCUUCCACAAUGGACGCAAGUCUGAUGGAGCAACGCCGCGUGAGUGAAGAAGGUUUUCGGACCGUAAAGCUCUGUUGUUGGUGAAGAAGGAUAGAGGUAGUAACUGGCCCUUUAUUUGACGGUAAUCAACCAGAAAGUCACGGCUAACUACGUGCCAGCAGCCGCGGUAAUACGUAGGUGGCAAGCGUUGUCCGGAUUUAUUGGGCGUAAAGCGAGCGCAGGCGGAAGAAUAAGUCUGAUGUGAAAGCCCUCGGCUUAACCGAGGAAUUGCAUCGGAAACUGUUUUCUUGAGUGCAGAAGAGGAGAGUAGAACUCCAUGUGUAGCGGUGGAAUGCGUAGAUAUAUGGAAGAAUACCAGUGGCGAAGGCGGCUCUCUGGUCUGCAACUGACGCUGAGGCUCGAAAGCAUGGGUAGCGAACAGGAUUAGAUACCCUGGUAGUCCAUGCCGUAAACGAUGAGUGCCAAGUGUUGGGAGGCUUCCGCCUCUCAGUGCUGCAGCUAACGCAUUAAGCACUCCGCCUGGGGGAGUACGACCGCAAGGUUGAAAC
Molecule: ribosomal RNA, 555 nt
Filed under: uncultured bacterium
Lineage: Bacteria
Description: partial 16S ribosomal RNA
Rfam family: Bacterial small subunit ribosomal RNA
Source: RNAcentral